Molecule: ribosomal RNA, 473 nt
Filed under: Mycobacterium tuberculosis complex sp. (ex Procavia capensis) 50
Lineage: Bacteria; Bacillati; Actinomycetota; Actinomycetes; Mycobacteriales; Mycobacteriaceae
Description: bacterial LSU rRNA
Rfam family: Bacterial large subunit ribosomal RNA
Source: RNAcentral
UAAAAGGUACCCCGGGGAUAACAGGCUGAUCUUCCCCAAGAGUCCAUAUCGACGGGAUGGUUUGGCACCUCGAUGUCGGCUCGUCGCAUCCUGGGGCUGGAGCAGGUCCCAAGGGUUGGGCUGUUCGCCCAUUAAAGCGGCACGCGAGCUGGGUUUAGAACGUCGUGAGACAGUUCGGUCUCUAUCCGCCGCGCGCGUCAGAAACUUGAGGAAACCUGUCCCUAGUACGAGAGGACCGGGACGGACGAACCUCUGGUGCACCAGUUGUCCCGCCAGGGGCACCGCUGGAUAGCCACGUUCGGUCAGGAUAACCGCUGAAAGCAUCUAAGCGGGAAACCUUCUCCAAGAUCAGGUUUCUCACCCACUUGGUGGGAUAAGGCCCCCCGCAGAACACGGGUUCAAUAGGUCAGACCUGGAAGCUCAGUAAUGGGUGUAGGGAACUGGUGCUAACCGGCCGAAAACUUACAACACCC